Molecule: RNA transcript, 3933 nt
Organism: Triticum dicoccoides
Lineage: Eukaryota; Viridiplantae; Streptophyta; Magnoliopsida; Poales; Poaceae
Gene name: disease resistance protein RGA5-like
Exons: 3
Source: RefSeq, a predicted model, not a curated record
GCCGGUAUCGACGGCGGAUCGAAUCCUGGGGGCGCUCCUCGCCGGUAGCGGCUUGCGAAAUCAGCGGCCAGCGACGGCUUCAUCCUUCUUGGUUCUUUUCGGGGCUUCUCCCCCUAUUGGUCUAGUUUUCUUGGUUCUUUUUCAAGUCACGGCAAGCAGCGAGGGCUCCGUUCUUUCCUCUCCCCUAAUCAAUCAAGGGAAGAGCAAGCAUCAUCUGUACGAGGCUGGUUUUCGCCGGCGACCUCACAUAGGCAGCGGGCGGCGGCCACACCUGGGCAGCGCGAGGUCGAUUUGUGGUGUGCGGCGGCCACACUACUUCCCUAAUGGUAGAGCAAGAGAUUGAAACACACAAGAUGAAUUCAGCGAGCGAGAGAGGAUUUUUCAGUUUGGUGGACGAGCCUAUGGUGACAGGAUCGAUCGACUCCGUGCUCGCCAAGCUCAACUCCACCAGACUGAAGAAGAAUCAUCCCAAGAUGAUGGAAGUGUUAUGUCAAGGCGUGGUGAACCUAAAGAAGGGUUUCGACAAGCUCGGCGGGGGGCGGGUGAUGGAUCGGCAUGCCCUAUUGUGGACGAAGUUUGCCACGGACCUGGUCUUUGACAUCGAAGAGUGGAUCGACGAGCCAAAGGCCACAUAUUUCUCGGAGAGAGAGAUGACUGCUUUGUUCAAGUCCCGGAUCCGCAAUGUGCUUGAGCAGUUCACGUGGUGCGACCUUCUCAGUCCAACUGAAGAUCGCUUCAAGAUCAUCGAUGAUUUACAUAAAGAUCUGGAGAGCCUUAAAAAGGAACUCCCCUAUAAGUUUGGGCCACCGGUGAGUCUUGAGCAGUCAGUUUGGAUGGAUCAAACAUGUGAGCUGGUCAGCGAGGUGGAAACUUUGGUCCAUGAUGAGAAGCCCGGAAAGGACAUGGAUGAAUUGCAGGAGAAACUAAUCCAGGACUACAAAGCCAAGAUACGGGAAACACGUGAGGUCUUGAAACAUUCUAGUGAUAAGCUCAGUACAGCCUCCGUUGAUUGUCCCCUGAUUUAUGAGGAGAAAACUCGUGACCUCAUUGCUCUGAAAGAACCAAGUAGUAAGCUUCUCAUGCAUCUGGCCGCCACACAGGCGAGGCUAAAGUUGGUAUCUAUUGUCGGAAUGGAAGGCAUUGGCAAGACUACUCUUGCAAAGGAGGUAUAUGCAAAGCUUCAAUGCAAGUUCGAGUGCCGAGCUUUCGUCACUCUUGGCCGAAAACCGUCUCUAGUGGCCACUCGGCUGGAUAUACUUCACCAAGUAAAGCCCCAGGGUACUAUUCCUCUGAAUGGUACAGAAGCUCCUGAAAUGAAUCAAGUCGUAACUGAGCUCAGGGAACACCUCGUCACGAAGAGGUAUUUCAUCUUAAUUGAUGACAUUUGGAGCAUCUCGGCAUGGGAUGUUCUUAAUUCUUUUUUGCCUGAGAAUGAUCUUGGAAGUAGAGUAUUGAUCACAACUUGCAUCAGCGACGUAGCCAAAUGUUGUUCUACACGCCCAAUUGAUUUCAUCCACCAGAUGGAGCCUCUUAGCAAGGAAGAAUCCAAGACUUUAUUUCACGAGGAGGCAAAAAGGCCCGCUGAAAAUGAGUUGUUGAAAAUGUGUGGGGGCAUGCCAUUGGCAAUACUUAUUGCAGCCGGCAGGAAAUCUGCAGGACUAGCUGAGCCAGAGAUUCGUGAGAGACGUAUCCUUUCAACAUCAGACCAAUGUUCCGCAUCAGAUGGGAUGAGAAUGUUAUUGCGCAUGAGUUAUGAUGAGCUACCUGCCCCUUUGAAGUCUUGUCUUGUAUACCUCAGUGUUUUUCCAGAAUAUUAUACCAUCAAGAAAGACCGUUUGAUACGGCUAUGGAUUGCUGAGAGAUUUUUCUUAGGAAGGCGUGAAGAAAACUUGUGGAGAACAGGAGAAAGCUAUUUCAAUGAGCUCAUCUGUAGGCGGCUGAUUCAGCCAGUGUUUGGCUACGAAGAUGGCCAGGCUGUAGGAUGUGUGGUACAUGGUGUGAUCCUUGACUUCAUCAAAACUUUGUCUAGGGAAGACAACUUUGCGACAACGAGUGCAGAUAUGAGGUCCGGACUAACUCCAUGCUAUCCGAUUCGACGGUUCUCAUUCGGUUGCUGCAUCAAGGAAGAUGAAGCCGGCAAGCUGCUCCCAGGAACCCUGCACCUAUCUAGCAUGCGAACCCUCCAAGUUUGCGGGCGUGUUGGAUGGACAACCCUCCUCACAUAUCCUAAGGUUAGAAAAGGGAAGCCUGCUCUUCGAACCUUCAAAUUUCUACGAGUACUCGAUGUGGAAGAUAAUGGUAUUUUGAGAAGCCACCAUCUGAAAGGCAUUGGAGGGCUGAUUCUGCUAAGGUACUUGGGACUUAGAGGGGCUGCUAUCCAUGAAUUACCAGGCGAAAUUGGAAAGCUGGAGCACCUGGAGACGCUGGAUGUCAGGCGCACUAACCUGAGAAAUCUGCCUGCAUCUAUAGCUGGAUUGGAAAGGAUGGUAUGCCUACUGAUUGAAGAUACCGUGAAGAUGCUGGGCGAUAUCCUUAUGAUGCAAGGACUACAAGAAGUAUCAACGAUCCGUGUCGACAACGUCAAGUCACUCCAUAAGGUCGUAGAGCUGCUGGUUCGGUCGGGGAGGCUGAGUGUCCUUGGCUUGAGCUUUGAUGGAUUAGACCCAUCUGUGCACAGUGCACGUGCCAUAGUUGAUUUCCUCAAGGUGGUUGGACACUCUAACCUUCGGUCCCUAUCUCUGCAUUGUCUUGGUGGUGACUUGGUUGGCCAACUGAACUUGUGUCCCCCGUACCAGUUGCAAAGAUUUGAACUGACUAUAUCUGGUGCAAUCCUGGGAAGUACUGCAUUUUGUAUGGCCACCUGUGUCACCCACUUGAAUAUUGAAAUUAGUCAAUUGGGAGAGCAAGGUCUGAGUAUCAUCGCGUCCGCGCCCCAUCUUAUCCUUCUCAAGUUAGUAUCUUCAGGACCUGCUGCUGCCAUGACGGACACGCACUCAUCUUCCAGAAGACAAAGAAGAAGGGUGAUAAUUUGCAGUGGCGCCUUUCCGUGUCUUAAGGUGUUCUGGUUCACAUGCAAGGCUGGUGGGAAUGAGCUGCAGUUUGAUCGAGGAGCCAUGCCACGGCUGCGGGGUCUUAGGCUCCACUUCAACGCUCUAGAGACGCUGUCUCUUUAUGGAGAUUUUGAAUUUGGCAUUGAGCAUCUCUCUAGCCUCACCAGAAUCCAUGCCGCUAUUGGAUGUGAAGAUGCUACGGCUCCGGAGGUGGAGCUUGCAGAGACUGCCAUCACAGAGCAAGUCUGUCGGAUCUCCUCCGCCAACACACCAACAAUAGAGUUCAGCAGAGAGAAGCCCGGGAUGUUUGAGGGGGAAAAGAAGAGUGUAGGUCCCCUUACAGAGACGGUGACAACGAUCACCAAGAAAAGGAGGUUGAGCAGAUGGUUGAUUACCCAGUACGAAAUGAUGCAGCGCGCCUUGUGCUCUUGCAGUUGCGCGGGUAGACGCAGUGUGAAAUGAUGCAGCGCGCGUUGUGGGCCUGGUCGUGCAGGCCACGGAACAGAACACAUCCGUGGCAAGCUUGAAGAGCACGCACGUAUAGAAAUCCAACGUGAAAUUAAACUAGCAUAUGCAGCGGGAGUAAGGGAGGGACAGGAUCACAGGAGCAACGUAGUGCACGAGGGAGGCUCCCUAUCGAGAAAUAUAUCUCCACAAGCUGCAUCUCGAUGGGUGAUAUCAGCAUGAACAUCCUCGCCUGAAUCUUUUCAGUCUUUUGUUCUUUUGAUAACUUGAAAUGAGUUGUUAUUAGCUGCAUGGUUAAUCGUGGUAAUUUUGGUCCAAGUAUUUUAAGUUCAGGAUGGAAUGUUUUGUUUGUUUGCACUAUGUAGCUGGUAAUGCCAGCAGCAUGUUGACGACAGUUGUCCUUCUAUAUAAAGUGGGG